AGCCUGUUUACAUAUAACACUUUAUGUUUUCAGGCAUUUAUUCAACUGUCUUUACUGAGAUCGGCUGCAUCCCUGUGUCCUUCACAAGCUAUACUCCACAGUCUGGGUGGCUCACUGUCAGCACCUUCAACUGGGUAAUUGGCACCUCAAACCCUAUGGACUACUUGCCUCCUGAUUUCUGUGCCAACUCUGAACUGGAGGAAACAGAAACACCACAUAAUUUCUUCACUGUCAUGGAGUCUCUGGCCAUGAAGAGCAAGAGAGUAGAGUAAACAUCUUGAGCAUCUUGACCAAGAUAAUUACAGAUAAUUACAAAUACUGGCCCUCAGCAGAAAUCCAAAUUUGACCUGAAUGAUUCAGUCACCAUCAUGGGAUGAUGACUGAAUCAUCAUAUCAUGUUAAAGUUACAUUAACAUGACAUCCAGCAGAGUUUUCAUCUGCAAUUCACAGACCUUACCUUUGGAUUGCAGGUAGAAAAGUGUAAAUAAAAAAUCUAUAUUAUUAGAGUGAGAACUACAGACACGCAGUCAACACUAUAAAGGAGAGCUUCAAAUAACAGAUUUCUGAUUUGCUUUGUCUUCUGUCUUUAUUCAUCACAUCAGUAAAAUUAUUUGCAAUUAAA
Molecule: long non-coding RNA, 622 nt
Organism: Oreochromis niloticus (Nile tilapia)
Lineage: Eukaryota; Metazoa; Chordata; Actinopteri; Cichliformes; Cichlidae
Exons: 2
Source: RefSeq, a predicted model, not a curated record